UACAGAGGGUGCAAGCGUUAAUCGGAAUUACUGGGCGUAAAGAGCACGUAGGUGGUCUUGCAAGUCAGAUGUGAAAUCCCCGGGCUUAACCUGGGAACUGCAUUUGAAACUGCGAGACUAGAGUAGAGUAGAGGAAGGCGGAAUUUCCGGUGUAGCGGUGAAAUGCGUAGAGAUCGGAAGGAACACCAGUGGCGAAGGCGGCUUUCUGGAUUCAUACUGACACUGAGGUGCGAAAGCGUGGGGAGCAAACAGG
This 253-nucleotide ribosomal RNA is filed under the name uncultured bacterium. RNAcentral describes it as "partial 16S ribosomal RNA". It matches the Rfam family "Bacterial small subunit ribosomal RNA", at positions 524 to 776 of the family's 1533-position model. The record is from RNAcentral.